RNAcentral lists this ribosomal RNA (496 nucleotides) under uncultured bacterium. RNAcentral describes it as "partial 16S ribosomal RNA". It matches the Rfam family "Bacterial small subunit ribosomal RNA", at positions 29 to 507 of the family's 1533-position model. The record is from RNAcentral.
AUGAACGCUGGCGGCGUGCCUCAUCCAUGCAAGUCGAGCGAACAGACGAGGAGCUUGCUCCUCUGACGUUAGCGGCGGACGGGGGAGUAACACGUGGAUAACCUACCUAUAAGACUGGGAUAACUUCGGGAAACCGGAGCUAAUACCGGAUAAUAUAUUGAACCGCAUGGUUCAAUAGUGAAAGACGGUUUUGCUGUCACCUAUAGAUGGAUCCGCGCCGCAUUAGCUAGUUGGUAAGGUAACGGCUUACCAAGGCAACGAUGCGUAGCCGACCUGAGAGGGUGAUCGGCCACACUGGAACUGAGACACGGUCCAGACUCCUACGGGAGGCAGCAGUAGGGAAUCUUCCGCAAUGGGCGAAAGCCUGACGGAGCAACGCCGCGUGAGUGAUGAAGGUCUUCGGAUCGUAAAACUCUGUUAUUAGGGAAGAACAAAUGUGUAAGUAACUAUGCACGUCUUGACGGUACCUAAUCAGAAAGCCACGGCUAACUACGUG